AGCCCACAGGGCCCAACAUCCUCGCCGGUCGCCGCCACUCUCGUCCCUCUCCCUUCCCCGAGCGCCGCCGCCUCCCUCGCUUCCAGCUCCGAAAGCGCCUUCCCCCCAAGCCCAGCGGCGUCGCUGCCUCCCUCCUCGGCGAUCGCCGCCUCCAUUUCUCGCGCUCGAGGUCCGCCUCCUUUGCGCCGGCGGCUUGCUGGCUGGUUGCUUCCCCGCCGCGUGCCUCGGAGGGGACCGGCCGUUUCUUGUUGCCCUCCUUGCUUGCUUGCUUGCUUCCUCCCCCUCGUCGCCGCUCACUCCGCAGCGGGGGUCCCCGCCAUAUGUAAGCAGCAUCUCGACGAUCUUGUGUCGCGUAGCCUCUAAACCUGUGUGAUUUACAAGGAUUAGGGCGUCGAAUUAGACUUCCCCGUGUAGGUGUGCAUCAGAGCUGUUCGACGUAAUGCCCGUGCCGCAUGGCGAUGACUGCCGCAUCUGUUUUUGGAUCUGGUGGAUGUUUGGAAUUACUAACGUCGAGUAAAGCCAUGCGAGGAAAGCUUUGGACAAGACUUGCCCCUUUCAUAUCCAAGCGUCAUGCUUCAACCUCUCAGACCUCAUUAUCUUCAUCUUCUUCGUCAUGCUCCGUGAUAAAUCCAUGGCUCUUUGUUGGUCUCGGCAACCCUGGUGAGAAGUAUCAAUGCACCAGACACAAUGUUGGGUUUGAUAUGAUAGACAUGUUUGCACAGUCUCAGGGUAUAUCUCUAACCAGGCAUCCCUUCAAGGCACUAUUUGGGGAAGGAAUGGUCGAAGGUGUACCUGUUUUGCUUGCUAAGCCUCAAACAUAUAUGAAUCUCAGUGGUGAAUCUGUUGGGCCACUUGCUGCCUAUUAUAAAUUACCACUUAAUCGCGUCCUUGUGGCAUUUGAUGACAUGGACCUGCCCUGUGGAGUUCUUCGUUUACAACCUAAAGGAGGAUAUGGGCGCCAUAAUGGGGUGAAGAGCUUGAUAUACCAUUUUCGUAAGAACCGAGAAUUUGGUCGAUUAAGGAUUGGAAUUGGACGGCCACCUGGCCAAAUGGACCCCAAAGCUUUUGUGCUCCAGAAGUUUAAUAAGACCGGUCGAGAACGGAUUGAUUCAGCCAUAGAAGAGGGUGUUGAGAUUCUUAAGUUGGUUGUUACCAAGGGUUUGACAGAGGCUGCAAGAUCAUCAAAUGUGGAUCAGAAGUAUAAGCAUCUGACAACACACGACAUGCAACUGUAAAGAUGAUGACAGACGCUGCUUGUCCGAGAGCGAUCCACUAUUACCUGUUGAAUGCCUGAUGGGAGAACCUGGUAACAUCUAAACUGCUUGAUUCAUUGAUUUGCCAAACUUAUUACAAGGGCUGUCAGCCGUCUCCUUUGCAUUGGAUUUCUUCUACCCCAUGGACUGAAUGGACGGAGCCGAAGAAACAGCAAAAGUACACGGAAGAGGAUCCUCUAACUUACUUCCCUCUGACUUUGAGUCAUUGACAUGUGUACCCGAUAGGUAAAGAGCCCACAUAUCAAUGACACAAGUUAGAGGAAAAUAAGUUAGAGGAUUUUAAUCCAAAGCACACAAGAGUAAGUAGUACUUUCCGUAAUACCAUACGUUCUCUGAACAAGCUGGUAAUAUUAGGAAAACCACAUGAGCACUGAGCACACAUAUACAUGCGCCAAGCAGCCCUAGAUUAUUAACUAAUUUUAUUUGCUCUUCAGUCCAA
Oryza sativa Japonica Group (Japanese rice) is the source of this 1713-nucleotide RNA transcript. It is a transcript of the gene named CRS2-like protein, chloroplastic, with no coding region annotated. NCBI's taxonomy places the organism in Eukaryota, Viridiplantae, Streptophyta, Magnoliopsida, Poales, Poaceae. The record is from RefSeq and is marked validated.